Molecule: transfer RNA, 69 nt
Filed under: Limnonectes fragilis (fragile wart frog)
Lineage: Eukaryota; Metazoa; Chordata; Amphibia; Anura; Dicroglossidae
Description: tRNA-Val
Rfam family: tRNA
About the family: Transfer RNA (tRNA) molecules are approximately 80 nucleotides in length. Their secondary structure includes four short double-helical elements and three loops (D, anti-codon, and T loops).
Source: RNAcentral
AUGAUAUAGCUUAGAUAAAGCCCCUCGCUUACACCGAGGAAACAUCCGUGAAAAUCGGAUUAUCUUGAG